UAAUAAAUACAGUCCGAAUUAUUGUCAUUUUAACCAUGAACUUGAGAUUUAACAUGGAGGAUAAAUUACGUAACAUAUGUUAACUAUAAGCACAUAUGUACUUGAUAGUUGAACAGCAUUCUUGCGACUGAUAGGCAAUCCAUUUAGUACAAGUCUCAAAGUGAUGCCUUUGACAAUCCGUUUUAGAGCAAAUAUUUCCCUUAAUAACACAAUGUGGUGGUGUCCGAAGAGUGAUUUCACUUUUCUGCGGGUUGUCAAACGCACUUGGUUCCUUUUGAAUUGAGCUUUCUCGUUUACCGUAAGCACGCCAGUUUACCGUGCAGCUCAACACCUGUUACUAUUGCUGUGUUUUGAGUGCGUAUUGCAAACAUUUUCAAGCUCUUUAUUUGCCGUUUGCAUCUAAAUAUGUAGGAGCAUCAUUACGACACGAGCUCCUCGAGUUUGUAUGUUGCUCGCAAGCUAUCGUAGAACAAUAUCAACAAAGUUGGCUUGUCAAUGAGCACGCCCACAACUAGCACACGGCUGUCGAUCAAACCUUAAUCAAGUAAAGCGUUUGACCUGCAUGUUGUUUUGUAUGUUUUCCACGCAAAAGUUGAUGUCCAAACUGCAAGAGUGGAGGCUCCACAUCGGCUGCUGGUAAUCUACCUGCACAUCACGACGCCAACAUAUUUUCGAAAGAGUAAACAUUCAGUCGCAAAAAAGUUACAAGUUGGAUUGCAGUCUGCUCGUAGACGAGUGGUGAAGUGGUCGGCCAGCGGGACAAGUGGUGAAGUGGUCGGCCAGCGGGACGAGUGGUGAAGUGGUCGGCCAGCGGGACGAGUGGUGAAGUGGUCGGCCAGCGGGCCGAGUGCUGAAGUGGUCGGCCAGUGGGCCGAGUGGUGAAGUGGUCGGCCAGUGGGCCGAGUGGUGAAGUGGUCGGCCAGUGGGACGAGUGGUGAAGUGGUCGGCCAGUGGGACGAGUGGUGAGGACUCCGUGCUUGGACCUAAGACAAAAAGAUUUGCAAGUCAAAAGUUAAGUCAAUAUUUUGUGCAGAAAAUGUUUUGGCAUGAAACUUACCAGUGUGAAAGAAUUGUUCAUGGCACCAAGUGUUGAGAGUUGCAUGACCAGGAAGCUGAGCUUAUUCCUUGCUGCCUGUCAAAAUAGAAAAAAAGAAUUUGGGACAAAGUUGUCAUUGGGAUUGUGCAAUGAUUAGCAUUUAAAGAGCAUACCACCCAAGUGCAAAUGUUGCCCACUUCUCAGGUUGCCUUGGAGAUGAGGAAGCAACACGAAAAAGCAUGUUGCUAGCAUGCGACUGCGCUCUGGUCCUCAGCCUCCGCUGCAAGCAGGUACUCCAUGGUGCACCACACUGGACAGAAAACAAACAAAACAAACAGUCAUUCAACUUUUGGAACAUGGUGGCUGGAAUGAAAUGUACUUUCCUUCUCUUACCAGCAGAGGGCUUUUCAGGCAGCAAGGAGGUGCAGACCCAAAAGACUUGUAGAUCUGCCAAAACGUCAACUUGAAGCUUUUGGCAAGUAGCAUACCAGGAAUGUCUCAUUUCACCUUGUAGGUCCACCUGUAACAGUCCAAGUCCAGAAAGUGAAGAGCCUGCCACAGUUUGGCUCGAGCCACAGGUGCUUCGACUCCACCGGCAGGUGGACGAGCUCAAAGUAGAAGCAUCUGUUGCUGAAGACAAACUGUGGCAGGCUUUUCGCUUUCUGGGCCAGGAUUUGCCACCGCUGCCUGUAAAGAAAAGGAACAUUGACACAACGACUCAAUUUAAGUUAACUGUUUUUAUUAUUAACUGUAGACUGGAAUCUUCCGCUGAAAACUUUCGGUCGUUUGUGCACUUGAAUCUUAGACGAGUAACAGGAAGACGAACUCCUGAACUGUUGCAAAGACUCUCCUGGACGGCCACACCUGCACACAAACAAGGGAACAGUCAAGCUGCUGUUGAGCAAGUUGAUUUGCACGUCUCAACACUUAAGAUGGAGAUAGGCUUGAGGACCUUCGGCACAGUUUUGGAGAAUUUCUUGGCCCAGUAGGUGGAAGGUCUUUCUCCUACUGGAAGCUGCACUGCACUAAGAGCAAAGAAAAAGCAAGUUAGUGCUCUUAGCAGGCCAAAUAUUUGCCACGUUUUGUCACCGGUCAGCAUUUUGAACGGGAAGUUCAUGAGGCCUAGUUUCCUGACUGUCUGCACCAGCACCACCUGAAACAAAAAACGGGUCAAGCGCUUUGAUUUGUUGAGUUUGUCAUUGCAACAGGUUCAAACUGGCGCUUUUAUUUCAGUCAAUCCAUGCAGCAGGUAUCAGGUCCUUUGGCACCACCUGGUGGACAAAACGGGAAGAAAAUGCACAUGCUGAAUAAAUUGGUCACAUUGUUCAUGUAUGAAAGUGCACAUGCGUGUUUCACCAAUGAAGAAUGCAGGGGCAGCUCUGGACUUCUCUCCAACCACAGUUUGUUGGCCUGAAAGACACGAUGCAGGCCUGUGGACAGAAAUGAGACCAGUAGAUGCUGUUAAUUAAAAGGGUUCACGUGUGAAUCCACUUUCAUCAAACAGAAAGUCCGUCAUUUGAGAAUCAUUUGGAAGAGCCGCACCUGCAGA
Syngnathus acus (greater pipefish) is the source of this 2585-nucleotide long non-coding RNA. RefSeq lists it as uncharacterized. The record is from RefSeq and is a predicted model, not a curated record. NCBI's taxonomy places the organism in Eukaryota, Metazoa, Chordata, Actinopteri, Syngnathiformes, Syngnathidae. The transcript is spliced from 5 exons.